AUGAGUGCCUGGUGCUCGUCUCAAGGGAGAAAUGGAAUGAGAACAGUAAUUCCCAGCUUCCUAACUUGGGUGUCAGCCAGAGCCAAGAGCAGAACACCCAAGAACACUGAUCUUGUGAGAGUAGAGCAGUACUACUUCGUGGUCUCUCAAAAAUAUUUGCAACUCUCCUCCUUCAAUGAAGCUUUUGCCACUAUUUCAAUAAGGAUUGCACUGUUUCUUUAUUUGUCUAGGCUGGAGUAUCCCCUGUUCCCGAAAACAAAAAAUUUGACUUAUGACCAAAGGGAUAACAUAAACUGUAGCCAUCAGGGGCAACACAACACCAAAUAA
RNAcentral lists this ribosomal RNA (327 nucleotides) under Triticum aestivum (bread wheat). Its description in RNAcentral is "partial small subunit ribosomal RNA". The record is from RNAcentral. Lineage: Eukaryota; Viridiplantae; Streptophyta; Magnoliopsida; Poales; Poaceae.